RNAcentral lists this long non-coding RNA (4090 nucleotides) under Bemisia tabaci. Its description in RNAcentral is "lncRNA ENSSSA3NGG002177". Lineage: Eukaryota; Metazoa; Arthropoda; Insecta; Hemiptera; Aleyrodidae. The record is from RNAcentral.
UUCUUUUUUUCUGCCUACUUGCGCUGAAGUUUUUUUCCAGAUUUAACAGAGAUGAGUUUAGCCUUUGUCUAUUUGCGAAAUUCGGGUGUAAACGGAGCCACCAUUUCUGGCUCGAUGCAAAAGCAUCUAUCUGUAUAGGGAAACUAACCGAACAUGACACAUUUUUAAAAUUAGUCAAAAAUGGUAGCUCUAUUUUCAAAACAUGGUCCAAAUAUUCGUAACACCAAAUGGGCCGAUCAUAAUUUGAUGCUCAGAGCGACAGAUGAUCUUUGAAGUUUGGCAGCUUUUUGUUAAAAUUGUCAUUACUGACUCAUCAGUGAAUGGAAAUCAUUAGUAGUUUCCAAUCACUGAUGGAUAUUUUGAUCGGGUAUCACUAAUGAUUUGGUGUCUCUCCGUUUAACUCGGUCAAAUGUACUCAAUUUUGUUUGAAUUCCUUGGGAUUGACUACAGGUUUUUUUCCCUACUCCUGUUUUUUUUCUUUCUUUCUUUUUUUUUUUUAGUUUAUAAAAAAUCAAUUUAAAAAUACCCACAAUUUCUCUUUCCAGGAACUGUGGUAACUCUAUUGAUAAGUUUAUUUUUCCCUCCUGUGGAGCACAGUACUUAUUUCCACAAGAAAAAGUUCAAGGCUGAUCAGAAAGUCGAUUAUGAUGUCAUUCGAGGGAAUUCAGAUUCCAGAGCUCCAGACGAUUUACAAGAUGCUUAUGACACAGGUGACAACUCACACCGAGAAAGUCUCACUGAAUGCACAAAAAUGAUUCCGUUAUAUCGCACCUAUGGCAUGACUUCAAGACUGCUUUCUCGAAUCCAAUUGUAAUAAAUGGGCUUCUUGGCUGGUCUUCGCUAAAGGAUGUCAUUUUUUGGUGUUGACUUAAAAUCAAAUUUUAUGGCAAACCGUGGCAAAGGAACAAAAAACUGUCCCUCUGAUGAAUGGAGCGGUUGAGGCUAUUUCCACGAUCACAAGUGCUGGGGCAGCUUACAUAGUUGCCAGGAUGUCGAGUGACUGGCGAAAGGGGCACAGCACAUUUUUAUUCCUCAGCUGUAUUUGCUGCAGUGCUCUUUUGUUCUACUGCGGCUUGUCCACCAACUUGUGGACUGUCUACAUAGCUUACAUUGCCUAUAGUUUUAUUUUCCAGUCUACACUCACCGUUACUGAGUCGCAAAUAGCACAGAACAUCCAGCGCGAUAGUUACGCUUUGGUGUUCGGGUUCCUGAAUUUCUUGGCUUUCAGUUUGACAAGUUUAUUCACAGUUUUCGUUAUUCAGCAUUCAUUCCUUAAAGUGAAGCCCACCGCCCAUCAACAGGUUAGUGCACAAUUUCUCACCUACAAAAAACUGGCUCCGUUGUUCCUCAAAUGAAGGUUUCAUGAAAAAAGGAAUGUAUUAAUCAAAAACGCUCCACGACGGGGAAAAAAUGGCAAUAAUAAAAUAGGAUGACCGUAACAAGGCUUGACUGAAACGAUGGAAGAUCUGUCAAUAAAUGUAAUCGUCCUCGGCAAAAUUAAUCGCGGUCCACAAUAUUUAAAAUUGCUCAAUUUGACACCACAGCACAAAAAAAGAGUCUUUCACGGAAAUGUUGAGACAAAAUCCGCUAAAAAACACUUAAAAAACCGUAAUAUUGGAAAGAAUUCCUUUGAUAUACUAGUCUGUCAUAUUCGGAGUACAAAAUAAUACUUUGGAAUAUACCGCUCGAAACGUGUUCCAACUAAAAGCAUUUUCCGUCGAAUUUUAUGAUCCGGCUUUUCAACCAAACCCGACCAAAGCGUCUUGACUAAGCAAUUUCUUUUCACGGCUUAAGGCCAAUUUUUCCGCGGACGAUCACAUGUGUAAAAUAUUUUAUUAUUAUGGCUCCUAAAUUGUUGAUAUAUACCGCACAAUGGAGUACCUGCAGGCAAUCUUGGUGACCCUAGGGUUCGAACGUCUAUAAAGAACCUGGAUUUUCCGAUGCAGCUUAUAUUUAUGUAUUUUUCGUGACGUCACUAAAAAUGUAGUGAGAGGGGCGACUUAUAACUCAUGGCUAAUUGGAAAGAGGGUUCUGAUUGGUUGCGAGAAAAAUGUGACGUAAGGCCAACUGUGGUAAAAUGUCAUUGACAUGAACAGAGUGAUUUCCUGAUAGAUAUGGUCGUGAGGUUAGAAAAUGAGACGAAGUGUACAAAUCCAAGAUUUUGGAACUAAAGCAGAGACGCUAAUGAGGGAAUGAGAGAUUGAUACAGUUGAUUACGUAUUAAUGGACUGAUCCUGUUUAUCAGAUCUCACGAGCUUUGAUCUGAAAAAUAAGUAGAAAAGUAACGCAGUGAUCUUAUUAAUAGGAACCAUCAGCCAGGGCGAAAAGCGCCACGAGGCACGUUUCUUCAUCAAAAUUUUACGAAAAACACAGAAAGCAUAUCGAUGGCGAAAGUCGGAAAAUGCGGAUCUCAGAUUGCGAUGUUUUAAAUUUUGCUCAUGUUAUAUUUCUUCGAAGGAAAAUCAAACAACAAUUUCUACCGCAAUUUUCUGCGGAUUUUCUUCGCUCAUUCUAUUAAAAAUCACUCAUGAUAAUUGCAAGGAAAACUGUUGAAUGACUUACCUUAUACAUAAUGGGAGAUGAAACGUACCAACCAGGGCCCGCAUUUUUCGCAUGUGCGAUAUUCCAAAUUUUGAAGUACAUAAAUCAUAAGUGAUCAAUAUCGGACCUUUCCAUUGUAAAAAAAAGGAAGGCCAUAUUUAGUACGGGUUUUCUUUAAAAAUAUGCACCUUCAGGUACAAAAGAGUUCAUUUCCUCCACUCAUUUAUGAUGAACUCUGUUUUGUAUUCAGUAAGAGUCAGCUGAUCAGAAUUUCUCGUAUCGAAAUAAAUCACUCACAUUCCCUAAUAAACGAAAGCAUUAAAGCCAAAUGGAGCAUUGAGAACUAAUCCAUUACUUUGAUUCCAAUUUCACAAAUUAUUUCAGCUCUCUUAGAUAAAUUUACAUUCUUCUAAAGAAAGUUGGGAUACAUAUACCAUGAGACGCACAAUUAGUUGGAAAAUGUUAUUUAUGAAUACUUUACAUUAACGUUAUUCGUCAAUAAGUAUCAUUUUCCAACUACAAAUACUACAAUCAUGUGUGCUUUGUGAUCAUACGUAUAUCUUCUGCAUAGUAUGUUUACCGCGUAACGGGGUGACACCUCUGUUAUCUUCAAACAUCCUCAUUUAUUUUUGUCUGUAAAGAACAGCUCAAAAACUGUUCCUGGUACAUUUUCAUUCUCAGAAUUUCCUGGGAUGCGUCCGCAGACUCCCUUCUCGAAACUGAGGGGUUCCCAGUUCCCUCAGACCCUCUUAGAGGUGCGCUCUUUUUUGACCCUACACCCCCCUCUUUGAAAAAAACUACCCUGUUCCACCCAUGGCAGGCGGUAGGGUGCUUGAAGUUGAAAGUGCCUGUAGUUCGAAGAAGUAGUCAUAAUUUUCGUUUCAAUAUUCUUAAUGAUGAUUUUUCUCAUGACUCAAUACGAGGAGGUUAUCGGAGUUUUUUACUGGUUCCUUUCUAACGCUAUCGAUUUGCUUGAAUUUUUUCGUCGGUUUAGAGCAUAUCAGUCAAAGAUACCAAUUUAAUGAAUGAAGAUAAGAACCUCGUGGUAAAGAGGUCAAUGAUUUACAUGCUUUCAAUUCUGGAAACUCCAGUUUCCUCUCCACUGCCAGGGUAUACAUUUCAAGAGGCUGGAACCAUAUCACAGUGCUAUACAUACUUUUGAUAUCGAUGGCUAAAGUGCGAAAUGUAGCCCUAUCGCGAUGUUUCUAAGUCCAUGCAUUUUCGAAGAGAAACAGUUAUCUACAAAGCUUGAAAUUUCUACAGAAUAUUCUGCCAGUAGAUAAGAAAAUCAAGGAAGCUUUCAAGUAAUUAAAUAGAUUAAUCCGCCCGCCCCCCCCCUAAAAAGUAGGGUCAGAAGUCUGCAGCGUCGCAAACAGAGAUACGUGGUUUCGCACUUUAUCCAUCGAUAUGUAUCUAUCGCAGCAAUUAGCAAUCGCCGCAAUUUGCAAUGCCAGUCGGAAUAAAUAUAGAAAAUCAAAAAUUCAAAUAAGAACAAGAUUAUAAUGCUGAUUAUGUUGCCUAUGAUGUGAAUAGACACUUUUCCAUCCAA